Molecule: ribosomal RNA, 468 nt
Filed under: uncultured bacterium
Lineage: Bacteria
Description: partial 16S ribosomal RNA
Rfam family: Bacterial small subunit ribosomal RNA
Source: RNAcentral
GACGAACGCUGGCGGCGUGCUUAACACAUGCAAGUCGAACGGAAAGGCCCUGCUUUUGUGGGGUGCUCGAGUGGCGAACGGGUGAGUAACACGUGAGUAACCUGCCCUUGACUUUGGGAUAACUUCAGGAAACUGGGGCUAAUACCGGAUAGGAGCUCCUGCUGCAUGGUGGGGGUUGGAAAGUUUCGGCGGUUGGGGAUGGACUCGCGGCUUAUCAGCUUGUUGGUGGGGUAGUGGCUUACCAAGGCUUUGACGGGUAGCCGGCCUGAGAGGGUGACCGGCCACAUUGGGACUGAGAUACGGCCCAGACUCCUACGGGAGGCAGCAGUGGGGAAUAUUGCACAAUGGGCGGAAGCCUGAUGCAGCAACGCCGCGUGCGGGAUGACGGCCUUCGGGUUGUAAACCGCUUUCGCCUGUGACGAAGCGUGAGUGACGGUAAUGGGUAAAGAGGUACCGGCUAACUACGUG